CGGAGUGUAGCUCAGCCUGGUAGAGUAUCGCCUUCGGGAGGCGAGGGACGGAGGUUCAAAUCCUCUCACUCCGA
Molecule: transfer RNA, 74 nt
Filed under: Caedimonas varicaedens
Lineage: Bacteria; Pseudomonadati; Pseudomonadota; Alphaproteobacteria; Holosporales; Caedimonadaceae
Description: Caedibacter varicaedens tRNA
Rfam family: tRNA
About the family: Transfer RNA (tRNA) molecules are approximately 80 nucleotides in length.
Source: Rfam by way of RNAcentral